This 253-nucleotide ribosomal RNA is filed under the name uncultured bacterium. RNAcentral describes it as "partial 16S ribosomal RNA". It matches the Rfam family "Bacterial small subunit ribosomal RNA", at positions 524 to 776 of the family's 1533-position model. The record is from RNAcentral.
UACGUAGGGUGCGAGCGUUAAUCGGAAUUACUGGGCGUAAAGCGUGCGCAGGCGGUUAUGCAAGACAGAGGUGAAAGCCCCGGGCUCAACCUGGGAACUGCCUUUGUGACUGCAUGACUAGAGUACGGCAGAGGGGGAUGGAAUUCCACGUGUAGCAGUGAAAUGCGUAGAUAUGCGGAGGAACACCGAUGGCGAAGGCAAACCCCUGGGCCUGAACUGACGCUCAUGCACGAAAGCGUGGGGAGCAAACAGG